AGAAAGAAGAUAGGACUGCUCAACAGCUGGGCACUGCCAGGGAGGGGUCAGAAGUAGAAGAAGGCCAUCAUGAUCGAAGAAAAGGACUUUUCUGCUUCUUGAUGACUGUGACACCCUAAAU
This is a long non-coding RNA of Hyaena hyaena (striped hyena), 121 nucleotides long. RefSeq lists it as uncharacterized. The transcript is spliced from 2 exons. NCBI's taxonomy places the organism in Eukaryota, Metazoa, Chordata, Mammalia, Carnivora, Hyaenidae. The record is from RefSeq and is a predicted model, not a curated record.